This 472-nucleotide ribosomal RNA is filed under the name uncultured bacterium. RNAcentral describes it as "bacterial SSU rRNA". It matches the Rfam family "Bacterial small subunit ribosomal RNA", at positions 30 to 491 of the family's 1533-position model. The record is from RNAcentral.
AUUGAACGCUGGCGGAAUGCUUUACACAUGCAAGUCGAACGGUAGAGGGGGGCAACCCCCUUGAGAGUGGCGAACGGGUGAGUAAUAUAUCGGAACGUGCCCAGUCGUGGGGGAUAACGUAGCGAAAGUUACGCUAAUACCGCAUACGAUCUAAGGAUGAAAGCGGGGGGAUCGCAAGACCUCGCGCGAUUGGAGCGGCCGAUAUCAGAUUAGGUAGUUGGUGAGGUAAAGGCUCACCAAGCCAACGAUCUGUAGCUGGUCUGAGAGGACGACCAGCCACACUGGAACUGAGACACGGUCCAGACUCCUACGGGAGGCAGCAGUGGGGAAUUUUUGGACAAUGGACGCAAGUCUGAUCCAGCCACUUCCGCGUGCAGGAUGAAGGCCCGUCGGGUUGUAAACUGUCUUUUGUACGGAAACGUAAAGGUUACUAUUAAUACUAGGAGCUCAUGACGGUACCGUAAGAAUAAGC